UAAACUAGGAUUAGAUACCCUAUUAUAUUUAAAUUACCAAGGUAGUAAUAAUUAACUAAACCUAUAUAUCUUGGCGGCAUUUUAUCUAACUAGAGGAAUAUGUCUAAUAAUCGAAAACACACGAUAAAUUUCACUUUUUAAUAAAUUUUAUAUACCGCCGCUUAAAUAUAAAUUAAAAUUUCUCAAUUUUAAUAAUAUUAUAACAAAUUAGGUAAUGGUGUAAACAAUAAAUCAGAUAAGAUGUAUUACAAUAAAAUUAAUUUAAGGCAAUUAACUUAAAAAAAAAAUAAAAAGAGGAUUUAAAAGUAAUAUUUAAAUAAUAAUAAAAUGCGAAUAAGAAAAUAAAUGUGCACACAUCGCCCGUCGCUCUA
RNAcentral lists this ribosomal RNA (371 nucleotides) under Dolichognatha umbrophila. RNAcentral's name for it is "partial 12S ribosomal RNA". Lineage: Eukaryota; Metazoa; Arthropoda; Arachnida; Araneae; Tetragnathidae. The record is from RNAcentral.